Long non-coding RNA from Saccostrea echinata, 1158 nucleotides. RefSeq lists it as uncharacterized. The transcript is spliced from 5 exons. The record is from RefSeq and is a predicted model, not a curated record. Lineage: Eukaryota; Metazoa; Mollusca; Bivalvia; Ostreida; Ostreidae.
AUUUGCAAGAUUUAAAAUUAAUUUCAGGUGAGAAGGUCCAUUGCAAAUGCUUGUCGAUUGCUAGAAAAUUAUGAAUACAAGAAAGCAUUCCGAUACCUUUAUAACCAUUUUCCUGGAGCAAAGAAAGCAGUCAGUAACUUAAUCAAGAACAAAGUCAGAAAGGGAGUAAAGAAUCUCUUAAAGGAAACAAAUAACUCCUUAGUUAAGAAAUGCAGCAUGGAAAACAUUGUUGGAUUCAAGUGGGAUUCUAUAGUGACAGAUGUGUGAAAGCACAUACCCCUAUUGCAUGCUGCAAUAGUUGCAACUAUUAGCAGUCCAUUGACAGAAGCAACUCUUCAGUCAGGGAAAAACAAAUCUCUGAUUCCUGGAGCAGGAUUGGCCGCAUCCAUCCUCUUGCACUUGAAAUCGCCUUUCAAAGUGAAGUUUGUGCAAGGGCUUAAUUCUAUAGAGCUGUUUAGGAGUGGGACACAAAGAAAGGCAUUUAGUCAUUUGAACAAACUAAGGUUUUGUACUAGUUUAAAGACUGUCCUAAGAAUCAUAACAAAACUCAGGGUACAUGCUGAUGCAGAUGUUUUGAAAAUGAAGCAUGUUAUUGAGAAACAGAUGAAAUCAGGGGUGUUUGAAGUUCCUGAGGAAGAAGUUGGUUAUAGGAGCAGUGAAGACAGUAACUCUGUAAUAAGUGAGGAGAGUGAAAGAGAGACUGAAUCAUCACAGGCCUUAGUAUCUUCAUCACCAACAAUUAGCAGCUCAUUGCAGGAGUUGCCUAGUGAUAGAAAAACUGAUGUUGAGAUACAAAGUAUUUAGUCUGAAGGAGAUCUUUCUUCACCUGGGUAAACCAUUACAUGGGACAAUGUUGGCAAGAUGACAAAGGCAUGCCAUCAAAACACAAACAGACGGAACAAAAUGAUGCUAUGGGCCUUAUCAUAUUGUGCAGAAAAUCGCAUCCCUACCACUCAUAUCACUGAUGAAGAGGUUCUAAAGGCUGUUGACAUUCCCAUGGAAAAGUUUCUGCCCAUGAAGCAAGACCUUCAAAAAGUAAGAAACCGCAUGGAAAUCAUUGUCAUGCAAAUAAUUCAGCAACAUGAUCCUUACUUUGCCAACAGCAAGGUUGUGAAACACAUUAGGCACAAAUACUGGAGGGAAUAAAGUAAAAAGAGC